This 466-nucleotide ribosomal RNA is filed under the name Hyperolius parallelus. Its description in RNAcentral is "partial large subunit ribosomal RNA". It matches the Rfam family "Bacterial large subunit ribosomal RNA", at positions 1924 to 2561 of the family's 2925-position model. Lineage: Eukaryota; Metazoa; Chordata; Amphibia; Anura; Hyperoliidae. The record is from RNAcentral.
UCAACGGCCGCGGUAUCUUGACCGUGCAAAGGUAGCAUAAUCAAUUGUUCUUUAAAUAAGGACUAGUAUGAACGGCAUCACGAGGGUUUAACUGUCUCCCUAUUUUAAUCAAUGAAAUUGAUCCCCCCGUGAAGAAGCGGGGAUAUAACUAUAAGACGAAAAGACCCCAUGGAGCUUUAAACUUAUUUUCAAUUACCAAAACCAAAACAUACACCCGGUAAAAAUGAUAAUCGUUUUCGGUUGGGGCGACCCUGGAGAAAAACAAAUCCUCCAAGCUGAAUAAAUUAAAAUUUAAUGUUAGAGCAACAACUCAAACAAUCAAAACCUUGACAAAAUGACCCAGAAUUCAUCUGAUCAACGAACCAAGUUACCCUGGGGAUAACAGCGCAAUCCAUUUCAAGAGCCCUUAUCGACAAAUGGGUUUACGACCUCGAUGUUGGAUCGGGGUAUCCUAGUAGCGCAGCCG